Molecule: ribosomal RNA, 393 nt
Filed under: uncultured bacterium
Lineage: Bacteria
Description: bacterial SSU rRNA
Rfam family: Bacterial small subunit ribosomal RNA
Source: RNAcentral
AUUGAACGCUGGCGGCAUGCCUUACACAUGCAAGUCGAGCGGCAGCGCGGGGGCAACCCUGGCGGCGAGCGGCGGACGGGUGAGUAAUACAUCGGAACGUGUCCUUUCGUGGGGGAUAACCAGUCGAAAGACUGGCUAAUACCGCAUGAGAUCUCACGAUGAAAGCGGGGGACCGCAAGGCCUCGCGCGAUUGGAGCGGCCGAUGUCGGAUUAGCUAGUGGCGGGUAAAGCCCACCAAGGCUACGAUCCGUAGCUGGUUUGAGAGAACGACCAGCCACACUGGGACUGAGACACGGGCCCAGACUCCUACGGGAGGCAGCAGUGGGGAAUUUUGGACAAUGGGGGCAACCCUGAUCCAGCCAUGCCGCGUGUGUGAAGAAGGCCUGGUGUAAG